RNAcentral lists this long non-coding RNA (540 nucleotides) under Brassica napus (rape). RNAcentral describes it as "long non-coding RNA (BNAP_LNC023751)". The record is from RNAcentral. Lineage: Eukaryota; Viridiplantae; Streptophyta; Magnoliopsida; Brassicales; Brassicaceae.
CAAAAACAAAUGAAAUAAUUUCAAACUAUUUUGGAAUACAUGUAGCAAUUUCGACAAUUAUUAAUACCACCUGUUGAAUAUUAUGUCAAAGAUGUAAUGUCACCUAAGUACCAGGCAAACUUUUAACAAUAAUUUGUAAAGAAUUUGCUAUACAGGUUUAACUUUGUGAGAGGAAGGUGGCUGGUUGAAAUAAUAAUGUAUAUUUUGUAAUCAGUAGAUAAUUCUCUUCUCCCCCGCUGAGGAAAGAUUUUCUCUGAUGCAAGUUUUAUUGAUAGUUGAGAAGCUAAUCUUGUAUGUGUAAGGCCACAAAAGGAUUACGAUGAUUUUUAUGUGAAGCCAGAUGUUUCAGCUUGUGUACCAUCAUUCACUGAUGAUGAGGUCGACACGGGGAUCUUUGACGUCUUGGAAGUAAUUACUGAAUCAACGUUCUAGCAUAAACCUUGACAUUUCCGAUGCCACAAGAUGUUAAGGAUUUAAUUAUCUGCCUUUUGCACCAAAUCUGCUUUAGAACACAAUCACCACCGACUAUCACAUGCACUA